This is a non-coding RNA of Caretta caretta (loggerhead turtle), 466 nucleotides long. NCBI's taxonomy places the organism in Eukaryota, Metazoa, Chordata, Testudines, Cheloniidae. The record is from RefSeq and is a predicted model, not a curated record.
ACUCCCUGGAGAGGCCAUAGAGCUUCCACAACUGGUUCAGCCCCUACCGCUUUUUCGAAAAGAACAAGCAGAUGGAGAAUCUGGCAGAGCAGAUUGCCACAUUGUGUAAAACCCUGGAGGAGUAUCCAGCCAUCCGCUACAGGAAGUGAGUGUGCCCAGGGGAAGGGGUACCCAGCUAUCCCCUAUAGGAAGUGAGUGUGCCAUGGAGAAGUACCCAGCCAUCCUCUACAGGAAGGACCAUGAAGAUAACUUCCACUUGGCGCACGCUGUGCUGGCCAAACUCAAGGUGUUCAAGGCAUACGAGCCCAGCAUGGGAGAGGUGUGGACAAGGAGAACCUCACCAAGCUGAUCCAGCAUGCCAACAUCCAGCAGCAGAGAGACAUCAUCCACAACAUGCUGUUCCUGGGCAUCUCUCUCACGCCUGGGGUAAGGGACUGGGGCCAGGGGCCAGCAGCUGUACUCAUGC